AAAACCCUAUGAUUAAAGAGGUCACAGAAUCAAAUGUAGGCGCAGGAGUCAGCAGCAGCUGAAAAGAAGGGCUUGGGCCUCGGAUCUUCCAUCCAAGGCUAACAAAGAACCUCAUGGGCACAGCAGCACAUCCACCACCAAAAUGGAACAACAGCCUUUGAUUUCUUCUAUGUGAGGCAAAACAUUAUUCACAAUUGUGGUGGUCUGAAAGAAAAUGGCCCCCACAGACUCAUAAGGAGUGGCACUAUCAGGGAGUAUAGUCUUGUUGGAGGAAGUGUGUCACUGAGGUGGGCUUUCAAAAGUUCAAGCAAGGCCCUGUGCCUCUCUUCCUGCUGCCUACUGAUCCAAACGAAGAACUCUCAGCUACCUCCCCAACACUUGAGUGCAGCCAUGCUCCCCAUCAUGAUAAUAAUGGACUAAACCUUUGAAUAUGAGCCAGCUCCAAUUAAAUGCUUUCUUUUGUAAGAGUUGCCAUGGUAACGGGGUCUCUUCACAGCAACAGGACACUAACUAAGACAACUAUAUCAGUAAAAUGAUUCCAAAGUUAGAGUUCAGAAUCUGGAACCAAAGAGACCUGCAUUCAACUGUACCCUAUCCUGGAUUCCAUCUGCACUAUAUUCUUCCUUGCUAGCUUGAUUCUUUAAUCAUAAAAUGGGAGUAUCUCCUAUUUGAAUAGUCUAUGUCAACUUAUCUUCCAGUAUUUUCAUCCAACUACUUUACCAAAUGCUUUUAAUGAGCCCAAAGACCUCUAGGUAAGCCAAGGAAGGUUACACAGUACAGAUGCAAAGGGUUCAGAGGAUGGGCAUAAUCCACUGUGCAGAAAGAACCUACACUUAUGUCUAAGAACUAAGGAUCUCUAAUGGAGCUUACUGGAAACACAGAUCUGGGACAGCAGCACCAUCCACUCCCCCUAGAAAGAAUGGAAUGAAAAACCAGCAAACACUGUCCUUCGUUAGCGUCUCCUUACCAUUCCUAAAGCUUCUUAGAAUGCAUUCUUCUAAAGCAGAAGGGAGCAUGCUUACGUGAGAAAGAACACUGUUCCCUCGGCAUCCUUCCUUUUCAGUACACUCUGCUCUCACGUCCACCCUUGCUAGGAACCUAGUCCAGUGCCUUACACAUAUUAAGAAUACUCCAUUAAAUACAGCAUAAAGCCUUAGCAUAUAGGCAAAGUAAAUUCCAUAAAUGCUAAUUCUUCUACCUCCAAAACUUUUCUGGCUGCAUCAAACAAUGCCUAAAUCCGAAAAAUCCUUCAUAUCCUAUAUUAACAAGCCUACUUAUUUCUGUCAGAAACAUCUGCAUUGGGAGAGAAUCACAAGAAGAGACACAGAGUUCCUAAAUUUCACACACUACAGGAUAAAUUUAAGUAAAAUCGUGAUGUGGUAGAAAUAUCCCAGAUUCUAAAAUUCAAGAGAUUUAGGUGAUUGAACAUAAAACUGAAUAUACACACAAGUCACACACAAUAUUCAUACAUGUUCUAGUUUCCUUUCUGUUGUCGACCAAAGCACCUUAGGGAGGAAAGUGGUUAUUUAGCUUACACUUCCAGAUCACAGUCUAUCACUGACGGAAGUCAGGGCAGGAACUUGGAAGAGAAGUCAUGGAGGAACUUGGCUUGGUAGCUUGCUCUCUGGCUCACUCCCAGGCUCAUAGUUGUCUAGCUUUCUUGUAUAGACCAGAAGCACGAGCGUAAGGCUGGUACCAUCCCCAAUGAGCUGGGCCCCCCUACAUCAGUUAAUUACCAAACAACCCUCCACAAAAAUGCCCACAGACAAUCUGAUCUAGGCAAUUUCUCAAUCAACGCUUUCCUCUCAGAUAAUUCUAGUCUGUGCCAACUUGACUGUUAGUGCUAACUGGAACAGCAAAUAAAAAGUCUGGCAAAAUAUACCCUCAUUAACAGUGGCUGCUACUGAAAUGCAAAAACAAUAGCAUAUAAUGUCAUCACUUUAUUGUGUUUUUUGUUUUUGUUUUUUUUUUUUUUUUUUACUUUUUGGGUUUUUUUCUUUCUGUCUGCAUAUAUGUCUGCGUGAGGGUGUUGAAUCCUCUGGAACUGAAGUUACAGAUAGCUGUGAGCUGCCAUGUGGGUGCUGGGACUUGAACCCAGGGCCUUUAGAUGAGCAGCCAGUGCUCUUAACUACUGAGCCAUCUCUCCAGCCCUCACUGUGCUUUUUCGGUGUUCAAUUUUCCUAUACUGAAUGCAAAUGCCUACUAAGUUUCUCAUCCUUAGGUUCUGCUCUCCUUAAAUCCAUCCUGUACGCUUACUGUCAGGACAAGUUUCUCAACCGUCUUCAAGAAGCUUGUGGUUUACUCUUUUUUUUUUUUCUUUGUAUCCCUAGCAACUAGCACUGUGCUUGGCACAAUAAUUAAUGACUACAUUAACAAAUAAAGUAUAAAAGCUUACAUGAGGUAUUUCUUUCUCUAAUCACCUAAUGUGCCAUCUUGCCUAAACCAUACCACUUUCCAAUCCAACCAUUAUUCAGAUUCAGAAACGAAGAAUUUUAGGUGCAGAGUUUGCUCAAAGUCUCACAGCGACUACAGGGCCUCAAGCUAGAAUUUACAUUCAGAUCCACUACUUUUCAAUACUAUCUUUCUUCCAGAAUACUUUUCAGUACGCAAAUAAAUAAUAGUUACACUUCAGUAAGGAGUAGAAGAUAUUACUAAUCAUGUAUGCAUCUUACAAUCCUUCUAAACUCAGAAAAAGUAUAAAUACAUAAUACUGCUGUUCCAGACCCAGCUACCGCCCAAAUCUAUGUCUGGGCCCAGGGUCUUACCACAGCUGGAGUCUGUGCUGAAGACGUAGAGUCUCAUACUGCCACCAAAGGUUUUAAGAAGCCUAGGGUUGCCGGGUGGUGGUGGCGCACGCUUUUAAUCCCAACGCUCGGGAGGCAGAGGCUGGCAGAUCUCUGGGAGUUCAGGCCAGCCUGGUCUACAAGAGCUAGUUCUGGGACAGGCACCAAAGCUACAGAGAAACCCUGUCUUGAAAAACAAAAACAAAAACAAAAAAGAAGAAGAAGCCUAGGGUUGUUCAGGGGCCAUCCCGAUCUGAGUGGCCAGUGCUUCCACCAGGAGCCAGGAUGUCGCUUGGGCACAAGUUGCUGCUGAGGGCCAUGUCUGGGUCCAUAGUUUAGCAGCAGCUGGGGUCUAUGUUGAUGUCUGUGGCCCGUGUCACCUCAGGGGACCAUAGGAACCAUGUGUGAUGAAAUCAGAAGGCCAUGUGGAGUUGGUCCCACCCUUUGCUGGUCCAGCUUCUCUCUGGACACUGCAGCAAGAGAGCUGGCCUUAUUCCCCAUACCAUGCUAAAUGCAUUUGUACAACAGAAACAAAUAAUUCACUAUGCAAAUAUCUAUUCUAUUCCUUUUUCCCUUUUAUUAAAAAUAGAUAUUUUCUCACAUGAUAUAUCCUGAUUACAGUUUCCCCUCCCUUUAUUUGUAUGAGUUCCUCCCCACCCUUUCUCCCCUCCAGAUUAAUUUCCUCUGUCACUCAUUAGAAAACAAACGGGUUUCUAAGGAUAAUAAGAAAAUAAAAUAUAAUAAGAUAAAAUAAGACAAAACAAGCAAACAGAAGGAAAAGAGACCAAGAAAAGGCACAAGAAACAGAUACAGACACAGAGACCCACUCAUUCACACCAGGAAUCCUGUAAAAACACUAAACUGGAGAUACUAUAUUCCUUUAAAAAGCUGGUUUCACUGUUUAAGAUCACUGCUAACCAUUUACAUUGGACAUCUUAUCUGAUCCUUGCAGUACUCCCAGGGCUUGUUGGCAUUACUCCAGCCACUUACUCACAAGGAAGCAAAUGCUCAGAAAUGCUAACACCUCUACCAAUGCUAAAAAAGUAAUAAAGGAAGAGAGCAGAACCAAAGCAGGCGGCUGGCCUACAGAACUGAGUACAGAAGAGCUACAGCAUCCGGACCAGUCAGAACGGGUACCUAGUAAAUGGACAUUGACUCAGUGCUUACAUGUUGAGCACUCUGCUAAAUGCUGUUAUACAUAAUUCUUAAACCUUCAAGUAACCAGGUACAGCUUAUGAUGUUUGCUUUUUAUGGGUCAGAAAACUAGAACACAAAGGAACUAAGACAGGAAAUAAACAUUUAUAUGCAUUACUCACAGAUGAACUAAGAGAUGUUAUCCUGAGGGAAAAAAGGAAAUAGCUACUCAUAUAUUUAGAUGCCAAUAAACCUGGGAUUAUCUUCCGUAUCUAGAACUAAAAUGAACAAAACCUGAACUAAGACUAGCUCAGUCAGUGAAGAGCUUGCCAUGAAGGCAUGAGGGCCUGUGUUUGGUCCCCAGAACCCAUGCUAAAAGACAGCAUGCACUUGUAAUACCAGCACCAGGAGGUGGAGACAGGCGGAUUCCUGGAGUGUUCUGGUUAGCCAACCUAGCCUAAUCAAUGACUCCAAGACAAGAGACCUCAGCUGGACUGCAUCUAAGGAAUGACACCUGAAGCUGUCCUCCCGCCUCCAUACAGACACAGAGGGGGGAGGGGACAUUAGGUUUAAGUAGGAAUUAUGUGUUUAGAUAGAACAGUGUCCAGCAUUAAGUUUUAGUCAGGGUCAAUUUACUAGGUAGGCCUGGCCCUGACCUCCUUUAACCAUUAACUGCUUUCUACCAACAUGAGGUAAAUUAUCUCCGGCUACUGGGAAACCAGCAGCAAUUCAUAAACAAACGGUCACUCCUGCAAAUACUGCAAGAGAGAAACGUGAUCUCUAUCACCUUAGCUCUCAAGCUCUACCAAAGUCCCAAGCAUGGGGACUUUCCAAAGUCACGUCUGCAGAGAGAGACCCUCCUCCCUUUAUGUGCCCAUUUCCUUUCUUUCACUAUCUAGCGGCCAUAAAGAGUAGUCUACACUGCUGACUUUUCCCUGCAUCUCUCAGUCCCUCAAAUAAGCUCAUCUUCACGCACCUUUUAACUUUUCACUACACACUUUUUCAAGAUUUAUUCAUGAUGAUAUAUAAGAACUCUGUUCAUUCACUGUACUAACAGUUACAGAACGACCCACAAUUCAUUGCUACUUUUCUCAAGGAAACUGUUCUUUUUCCAGUUCUGCAGUCUGAGAUGACUGUGAGCAUGCACACCUGUGCGCUCCCCGAGACCACCACUACUAGAAAGGCUGAAUCAAGACGUAGUAGAUACCUAUACCAGUUUCAGGAGCUCCAGUCCUGUUUUGUCUGUGGACUCUCCUUUUGUUGGGAACCCUACAGGCUCAUACUGCCAUUUCUACGGUGAGUUUACUGCAGCUGGCUUCUGUCUUCUGGAAGAAUCCUGGGCUCUCAGAGACUUCAGCACCAACAAGUGAUGAGCUGCCGCUGCUGAGAAAGGAGUCCUGCAAGAGAACUUUAAAUUGCCAGCAUCACAGCCGGAAACCUACCCAGAAAGACCGAAAACCGCCCCAGUCAACCAAUCCUAGCCUCCAAAACUUAAAUCCCACCCGGCUUUUUCACCGAGCGCUACUGGCUUUUUUGAUCAAUAUUAUCGCAAAUAUAAAUAGAUGGCAUUUAUCUCACCCUCACUAUGUGCCAGGCUCUGCGAUAAGCAUGUAUUUUUCAAGAUUGCAUGAGCCGCGAGCUCAACCACCACCAACCCACUCAGCUCUCAAGUCAGCAAAGCCACA
Long non-coding RNA from Alexandromys fortis (reed vole), 5602 nucleotides. RefSeq lists it as uncharacterized. Lineage: Eukaryota; Metazoa; Chordata; Mammalia; Rodentia; Cricetidae. The record is from RefSeq and is a predicted model, not a curated record. The transcript is spliced from 3 exons.